CAGCGGCAUUUUUCGCCGUGGUCCGGUCAAGGCCCGUCCCCCGCCUUUCCCGGGCAAUAUAGCGGCAGCCUCAUCCCCCCUCUCCGGGCUGCCGCGGUGUUUCAAGCAUGGCCGCCGUGGUUACCCCCUCCACCACGGCGGCACUUG
RNAcentral lists this small RNA (147 nucleotides) under Nitratireductor indicus C115. RNAcentral describes it as "Alphaproteobacterial sRNA ar7". It matches the Rfam family "Alphaproteobacterial sRNA ar7". The record is from Rfam by way of RNAcentral. Lineage: Bacteria; Pseudomonadati; Pseudomonadota; Alphaproteobacteria; Hyphomicrobiales; Phyllobacteriaceae.